Long non-coding RNA from Silurus meridionalis, 1810 nucleotides. RefSeq lists it as uncharacterized. The transcript is spliced from 2 exons. The record is from RefSeq and is a predicted model, not a curated record. Lineage: Eukaryota; Metazoa; Chordata; Actinopteri; Siluriformes; Siluridae.
CAUAAGAUUCAUAUGUGCUUACCUUUAGUGUAAAUUUGCUGUUCUAAUAACCUCCACUCCUCAACAAGCUCCACUAGAUUUUGGAGUGUGUUUGUGGAGAUUUGUUUACUCAGCCACAAGGCCGUUAUUGAGGUUGAGGUCGGAGCUCUACGGCAGGCCACUCAAGAUAUCUGUAUGAAUCUGGCUUUGUGCACACGGACUUUGUCAUUCUGGAACAGGUUUGGACCUCCUUGUUCAAAUCCAUAUAAUGUAUUAUUUACAUUUAUGUAAAAAAAAACAAUUCUAAGCCCAAAACAGGUGUCAAACUGUGGAUGGCAAAUAUUUGCCUGAAUAUAACGUGUGAAACGAUAUUAUUCAUCACCACAUUAUUAACACACAUGUUCUGGAAAACCAUUCUUUUUCCUAAAAUGUGUUUAGUUGUUUAGUCUGUUAGGGGUGAAAUAAAGACAUUCCAAAACAGAAUAUCGCCCUCCUCGGUUGCUUUUAUUUCCCAAGCACUUAAUGCAUGUAGCAAACUGGCUUGGAAUCAAAGGAAUGUUCAGAUAAAACCUGACUGGCUCCAAGAAACAAAACAUUCUUCAGUUGCCUUCCAUCUCUUCUGAUCCACUUGAACAAAAGGAACGCGGAAUGUGAAACACUGGCCUAAUUCUGGAGAUUAUUCUGAGGUUUUAUGCUCCGAAGUUAUUACUGGAUCUACAGGGACAGACCAGAGAGGAAGAAAAGCAGUCACACAGUGCUGUGUGCAGAUAUAAGCCGUAAGUAAGAAGUUCAUUAUAUCCUGAGUAUUUUCUGUUCAUUAGAACAAACACUGGGCAUUUCUCAGCAGGGGCAGUAGUAUAUUAGUCUUACAUCUUCAGGGUCCAUGAAUUGAUUUAAAUCUUGGGUUGCUGUUUGUUUUGGUGCAAAGGAGAAAACCAGAGAACCUGGAUGAAUCCUGACCUCAUCAGUGAACCGAUUUAGCAUGCAUACUAUCAGUAGGAGAAUUCCGAGGAUGGACCUGCCAGGAAGGAGGAAAACUGACCAAGGAGGAGGUUUAUGGAUGUGGUGAAGGAAGACAUGCAGGUAGUUGGUUUGAAAGAAGCAGAUGUAGAGGACAGGGGGGUAUGGAGACGGAUGAUCCGCUGUGGUGACCCCCUAAUGGGAGCAGUCGAAAGAAGAAGAAGAUUUAACAUGCAUACAGCUACAUAUUAUAUGUAUUUAUUACAGCUAUAAACAAAUGAUAGAUCGACAACUGCAUUCAAAUCGUUUUUUCAUAUUCCAAGCAGCAUAUUCUUUGAUGCGACUUUUCAUUAUUGUUAGAGGUCUAGACUGACCAGAGGAGCACUCUUGGAUGUCAAUUGUGCAUAAAAUUCAAGUCAAGUCGAAUAAACAAUUGCGUAUUGAUGUAAUGAAUUUUGAAGAAAAGAUGAAAGUGAAUGAUUUUUUAAACAUCUUUGAACAGACUUACUGUAUAAUUGUGUUUGUCAUACUGGCUAUUGUUUGAUGUAUUUAUAAUUGUAUACAUUUUCACAUGCACAUGAGUGUGGGAAUAUAUACAAUACAUGAGAGAGUAGCAUUAUUAUAGCCGUACACAAUUUACCAUUACAUUUUCUUAUUAUAUUAUUUUAUAGAUUGAAUAAAUGUUACACUGUAUUUUGGCAGGCUCUAGCCUGUCAGUGCUGAAGAAUGCAGUUUUAGAAUUGUACAGGUCAACAGUUUUGGAAGUGCCAAAGGUCAAGAUGAACCACUAGAAGACUUUCAAAAAUUGCAUGAAAGUAUUUCUUUGCAUUCUGAAUGUCACCAAUCCUUAUUAAAACUGCAACUCAAAGAC